AGCCCUGAGGAGGUGGAAAGGGAGGGUGGCAGCGGCGCCUGCUCGCCAGCUGAGAGGGUGAGAGAAGCUGCAAAGGAAUUACAAGGAUGUCUCCACCCUGCAUGUUCUGACAUGACAGAUCUUCCCCAGAACUACAACACAGAACAACAGAAGGAGUCAUGCCCAGAGGGCUCCCCACUGAAAUUCCCAGCAGCCUGGGCUGCCUGGCCUCACCUCCCAAGCCCAGGACAUUGCUAAAGAGCAGCCUGUGAGGAGGUUCCCAAAGGAAACUGAGAGGGAGCAUAGCUGAGACAGGUGACCUGAACUGACCAGAGGGAUACUCCACACCACAGGACAUCAUGCCCAGUAUAUAAACUGGGGGGAGUUACCCUGACAGAGCCAAUCUGCCUUCAGGAAGGGGGAUCUGACACAGGCCAGUGGGUGGAUCUUUUGCCCACUGUCCAUCUCCCUGUGUUCAUCAACCACCUCCCUCAAGGAAAGAAGCACAAGUCAUUUAGACCUCAUCACAUCACCCAGAGAAGGUGUCCUUUCCAAGAAAGUACCAGCUAGUCCCGUGAAGUUCCAUGUGGAUAAUGACUGAUACAAAGAACUUGGAGAAAGUCACUCUCUGCUGGGGAACUGGAGUGUUUGGGAAUUGAAACUCCCUUUUUCCUUCAGUGCAGCAUUAGCUGAUAACCUUAUCCUGACAAAGUGAUCUUAAAAAAUCAAUACUGAAUGUCCUUUCCCUCACUGGUCUCUACCACAGCUUCCCUGCACACACCCUCCAGCUCAGGGAACAAGCUGAGCUCUAGUCACAAGCAUCUGCCUGUGUAUGUACUUUUGGGCUUUUUCCUUUAUUAUUUGAGCUUCUCUCCUGUACUGAGUGAUAAUGAACUCCCAUUCAUUGACUGUGUGCCGAUGAGGACAUCUUCACAUCUCUCUGCAAACAGGCAAUUGUGCGCCAUCAGCAUUACAUGUCAUUAUGAUGCAGCUACAGUACUUCAGCGCUUUCCUGUACUUUGAUCAGCAAAGAUUAAUUACCCUCAACUGAAUUAUUAGUGGUGAUUAAACCUAACAGAAAAUAAAUGGGACUGCAAUAUUACUGGGUUAUAAUUUCACCAGUGUGGUCAUUUGCAAGCAAUUUCCUUAUGCACAAUUUUUUUUCUUAAUCAUUAUUCUCUAAGAGUUUUUCUAUCAUGUAUUAAUUAGGAUGAGACAGUCAGUACACAAUACCACAUUGUACAUUACAUGACAUAUGCAAAUCAUACGCAAAGCCCACAUACAGCUCUAUGUACAGAGCUCAAGCUGACUUGGGCAAAACUUUAAUUGAUGUCAGUGGAGGUUUGCUAGUGGUGGAGUGUGAUCUUUGUACAUGCAGCUGUAUGUGAGCUUUGCAUAUGAUUUGCAUAUGUCAUGUCAUCUUGACCCAAGAUUAGAUCAGUUGGUUUACAGGGUCAAGUUCUAUUAAAACUACAACUUAUAGUGAUUUCCUGUGAAUUCUGAAUGUGAUAAAUAUUAAAUGAGGAACUUACUGCAAU
Non-coding RNA from Cyanistes caeruleus (blue tit), 1517 nucleotides. The record is from RefSeq and is a predicted model, not a curated record. NCBI's taxonomy places the organism in Eukaryota, Metazoa, Chordata, Aves, Passeriformes, Paridae.